Microcebus murinus (gray mouse lemur) is the source of this 135-nucleotide unclassified non-coding RNA. It matches the Rfam family "Y RNA". Rfam says of the family: Y RNAs are components of the Ro ribonucleoprotein particle (Ro RNP), in association with Ro60 and La proteins. The Y RNAs and Ro60 and La proteins are well conserved, but the function of the Ro RNP is not known. NCBI's taxonomy places the organism in Eukaryota, Metazoa, Chordata, Mammalia, Primates, Cheirogaleidae. The record is from Ensembl.
GGAGUCUUAGAGCUGAGAUCUUUAUAGUUGCAUGGAUCUGAGUUAUCUCACGUGAUUGUUCACAGUCAGUUACAGAUUGAACUCCUUGUUCUACUACUUUCCCCCCUCCUCACUACUGCACUUGACUAGUCUUAA